UGUCACAAGCAGGUACUCCCAUGACGGGGUUUCAAACCUUUUUGUUCACAUUAUCUGAGCCUGACGGGCAAAAUUCAUGGUCAAAGGCAUUUUAUUUAAAGGGGUAUUGAAGAAGCAAGCUGAUCCUCCACUUGGUAUAGGUUGCCAUUUGGAAAAAUUGGAAAAAAAUUGGUGCUGUAGAGGCUGACAGGUUGGAUGAAUGUUACGUGUUCUGUAAAAGAAAUGUUCUGGAAAUAUAUGCAGUUUGCACAGAACAUUUAAAUAACCCUGUGCCGUGAGAUUAUGUGAUUACAAUCGACAUUCUCUAUUACGUUAUGUAAAUAUAAAAUAAAUUCCUUGUUGGGAACCGAAAAAUUAA
Long non-coding RNA from Dendroctonus ponderosae (mountain pine beetle), 358 nucleotides. RefSeq lists it as uncharacterized. The record is from RefSeq and is a predicted model, not a curated record. Lineage: Eukaryota; Metazoa; Arthropoda; Insecta; Coleoptera; Curculionidae. The transcript has 2 exons.